UACGUAGGUGGCAAGCGUUGUCCGGAUUUACUGGGCGUAAAGAGCGCGCAGGCGGUCGGAUAAGUCGAAUGUGAAAGCCCCUGGCUCAACCAGGGAGGGUCAUUCGAUACUGUUCGACUCGAAGGCAGGAGAGGGAAGUGGAAUUCCGGGUGUAGUGGUGAAAUGCGUAGAUAUCCGGAGGAACACCAGUGGCGAAGGCGACUUUCUGGCCUGUUCUUGACGCUGAGGCGCGGAAGCUAGGGGAGCAAACGGG
RNAcentral lists this ribosomal RNA (253 nucleotides) under uncultured bacterium. RNAcentral's name for it is "partial 16S ribosomal RNA". It matches the Rfam family "Bacterial small subunit ribosomal RNA", at positions 524 to 776 of the family's 1533-position model. The record is from RNAcentral.